This 1270-nucleotide ribosomal RNA is filed under the name Niphargus spinulifemur complex sp. A VZ-2015. RNAcentral's name for it is "eukaryotic LSU rRNA". It matches the Rfam family "Eukaryotic large subunit ribosomal RNA", at positions 1359 to 2193 of the family's 3401-position model. Lineage: Eukaryota; Metazoa; Arthropoda; Malacostraca; Amphipoda; Niphargidae. The record is from RNAcentral.
GGCUUCAGUACGACUCAGUCAGAACUAUAAGUUUCAAAGCCCCGACGAGUAGGGUGGCGUGCCGGUGCGCGUUGAAGGCCAAGACGUGAGUCAGGCUGGAGCCGCCGGUAGUGCAGAUCUUGGUGGUAGUAGCAAGUACUCUGGUGAACCAACCUGGAGCUGUGAGGUCUGGAUUAGGGUUCCAUGUCAACAGUGAUUGAACAUGGGUGAGUCGAACCUAAGCCAACUGUGAAAGCAGUGACAUCCCGACAAAGGAGCGGUACGUGUGCUGCACUUACACCCCCAUAUAUAUAUCUCUCUCUCUGUGACGAUAAGGGUUCUGGUACGGAAAAUGCGCACACACAGUGAUCACUACAAGUAUGUGUGAGUGUGUGCGCUUGUUCGGUUACGCUCAUAAGCGUUGUUGAUCUAUGGCAAAAGGAUAUGACAAAACAAAAGGGAGAGAGAGGGUGAGCGUGAGAUUGCACGAGUCUUCUGCGUCUGGUUCUAUGUCUGGCGAAAGGGAAUGGGGACUUUGUUCCUUGACCGGUCCCGGCACCCUCGAUUGGCUCUGCCAGUCAAUGGUCCAUGCAAAUGGAACCAGGCCACAUCCGUCGGCAGUCGCCCGAGGAAGAGUUUUCUUUUCUGCUUAACGCACGAGAUCAUCCCUGGAAACAGUUCGGCUGGCGAAAGGGUGCCCCGUUGCGGCAGAGCGCCACGACUGUCGUGCGCGUCUCGGUGUUCCUGCCGGUCCGUGAAAAAGUGGUCGAGGGGAUUGCUCUUGUAUCAACGAAACGUCCGACAAGUUCGGGACGGACCGUACCCUAUAUCCGCAUCUGGUCUCCAAGGUUCGUAGCCUCUGCAGAGUCAGACACAUGUAGGUAAGGGAAGUCGGCAAACUCGAUCCGUAACUUCGGGAAAAGGAUUGGCUCUGAGGGCCGAGCUGGGCCGGGCCUUGCCUGCAAAGCAGUACCUAUAGUGACCGGAGUUUCAGGAGUGCGAGGGGCUCUAGUAGCUGCUUGUGCGUGUGUGCGUUCGCGCGUGCGCGCGUGUGGGCACGAACGAGUCCACCGCUCCGCUCCAACCACGAACGGCUGUGACGGCAAGGGCUCUGGGCGGGAGCGAUCAAACCGUUGGCCUCCAGCGCGUCUGGCUGGCGGCGGUGCUCCGUCUGACCCAUACGGCUCCAGCGGCUAGCGGCUAACUCAGAACUGUCAUGGACCAAGGGAAUCCGACUGUCUAAUUAAAACAAAGCGUCGUGACGGCCCCUGUUGGGUGUUGACGCGACGUG